Molecule: unclassified non-coding RNA, 451 nt
Filed under: Hevea brasiliensis (rubber tree)
Lineage: Eukaryota; Viridiplantae; Streptophyta; Magnoliopsida; Malpighiales; Euphorbiaceae
Source: RNAcentral
AAAAAUUUUACCAAAUCCUAUUCUUUCAACCAUUCCUCAAGUUCUUUUAAAUAAAAUAGCUUUUAACACUGGUAGUUAGAAGUGUAUUGUUUGUCACAAUUGAAACAUAAAUCCUUCGUUGUAUACCAUCACAGCUCUGAAGAGACAUUACGGGCUUGUAAAAGGAGUUGGGGUAAUUUGCACCCUCUAGACGAUGUUCAUAUAGACAAGCUAAAUUCAUUAUUGUUCACAAAUCAGUGGAUUUAUGCAACGUGACUUCCACUUGGAUUGUUGAUGCAGCUUGAGAAGAUAAUUUCUAAGCCCAUGUUAGGAAAUGUUCAAAAUGGUGCUGGUAUUCUAUAACUGUGUUCGCCUAAUUCAAUUUGUAUCAGUUGCCAAGCUUUCUUCCACAUAUAUGCGGCCCAAAUUAUAGGUAGUGUUGAAAUCCCAAUCCCUACAUUAAAGGAAUUAU